RNAcentral lists this ribosomal RNA (396 nucleotides) under uncultured bacterium. RNAcentral's name for it is "bacterial SSU rRNA". It matches the Rfam family "Bacterial small subunit ribosomal RNA", at positions 28 to 429 of the family's 1533-position model. The record is from RNAcentral.
GACGAACGCUGGCGGCGUGCUUAACACAUGCAAGUCGAGCGGUAAGGCCCUUUCGGGGGUACACGAGCGGCGAACGGGUGAGUAACACGUGGGUGACCUGCCCUUAGCUCUGGGAUAAGCCUGGGAAACUGGGUCUAAUACCGGAUAUGACUCCAUGACGCAUGUUGUGGGGUGGAAAGCCUUGUGCGGCUAGGGAUGGGCCCGCGGCCUAUCAGCUUGUUGGUGGGGUGAUGGCCACCAAGGCGACGACGGGUAGCCGGCCUGAGAGGGCGACCGGCCACACUGGGACUGAGACACGGCCCAGACUCCUACGGGAGGCAGCAGUGGGGAAUCUUGCGCAAUGGGCGAAAGCCUGACGCAGCGACGCCGCGUGAGGGAUGACGGCCUCGGUGUAAC